Molecule: non-coding RNA, 29 nt
Filed under: Homo sapiens (human)
Lineage: Eukaryota; Metazoa; Chordata; Mammalia; Primates; Hominidae
Source: RNAcentral
UGAGGAAACUGAGGACAAUGAGAUUGAGU